GUAGUCCACGCUGUAAACGAUGAUCACUAGACGUUGGAUCUGCUCUGCAGAUUCAGUGUCGAAGCUAACGCGAUAAGUGAUCCGCCUGGGGAGUACGGUCGCAAGAUUAAAACUCAAAGAAAUUGACGGGGGUCCGCACAAGCGGUGGAACAUGUGGUUUAAUUCGACACUACGCGAGGAACCUUACCUAGGCUUGACAUGUAUUUGACAGCUCUAGAGAUAGAGUCUUUCAGGGGUAACCCUGAACAGAUACACAGGUGCUGCAUGGCUGUCGUCAGCUCGUGUCGUGAGAUGUUGGGUUAAGUCCUUUAACGAGCGCAACUCCUGCUAUCAGUUGCUACCCUUUGGGCACUCUGAUGGGACUGCCUGGGAAACCAGGAGGAAGGCGGGAAUGACGUCAAGUCCGCAUGGCCCUUAUGCCUAGGGCGACACACGUGUUACAAUGGCUAGCACAAAGAGCAGCAAGCUUGUAAAAGUGAGCGAAUCUCAAAAAACUAGUCUAAGUUCGGAUUGAGGUCUGCAACUCGACCUCAUGAAGUUGAAAUCGCUAGUAAUCGCAUAUCAGAACGAUGCGGUGAAUACGUUCUCGGACCUUGUACACACCGCCCGUCACACCACGAAAGCUGUUUGUACCCGAAAUCAUUUUAGCUAACCCGAAAGGGAGGCGGAUGCUGAAGGUAUGAAGAGUGAUUGGGGUG
Molecule: ribosomal RNA, 698 nt
Filed under: uncultured bacterium
Lineage: Bacteria
Description: bacterial SSU rRNA
Rfam family: Bacterial small subunit ribosomal RNA
Source: RNAcentral